GGCACUCGUGUACUGACUACAGCCCACAGCAAUUACAAUAUUUACAACAAAAAUCUUGUUUUACUUUAACACAUCAUGAAGUUUCGUGAAGCCAUGGUGUGAUAGGUGCAGAAAGAUUUCUUCACAGCUACUUGGUUGUUCAGUGGCGGGGGACAUGUCUAUCGUGUGGACGCUCAGUGGAGAGUGAUGUGUCGUUUAUGCACGGGUCAUUUUCGACUGGAUGUUCGUGGUCUUUCACCACUUAAACGACCUCAGGGACAAGUCCAUUCCAGCCAACCAGGUGGUCAUCCGGCAGCCAAUGUGUUGACCGGAUCAGAGACAUAGUGACUAACAGUCGACAGUUGACAAGGAAAUCACAAUUUAUGAAUGAAAAUGCGCAAAAUUCAUCGUGGAACACGUGCAUAUUAUUACACAAUAUCACACAUUGAAAGUGUUUUUGCUGAGAAUCGAGAACACACAAUAAAACAAUAAAGACUCUGAAAAAGAAAACCACAAGUUGAACAGUGUAAAAAUGACAAAAUGAAGACAAGGACAAUAGUCAGGACAUGGCCCGCCGCCUAACUCGGGUACACAGCUCUUAUCUCGGGUGAUAACACAGUGGCCUUGUGGGUCAUUGCACAAGCUCUGGUGUACAGGUCGGUAGUCCAGCUCACAUCGCCUUUUUCUUCUUGUUGAGAGCACCAAACAUGUCAUCGUCCUUUGCCGACAGCGUUAACAUCACCCACUACAUCACAUACGCCAUCGCACCGUCGGUGAUCAUUCUAACUCUGCUGGCUUUUCUGCAAAAUCGUCGACAACCAAACAAAUGCGGAUACCACAAACCAUCACUAGUAGUACCGAUGAGGUUUCUGGAUGGCUACGAGGACAGGUGGGCCUACGCCUUGUCGUUCGGCGCCAUCACCGGGGUGUUGAUCAGCGUCUUCAUGAACUCCUUCAUCUCGUCCUCGGGCGAGGUGUCCAGCGACAGCACCAACAUGUUCUGUGGGCAGAGUAACAGCACCCUGUGCCGAGAGAUCUGGGCUAAAACACUCCUGCUGCAGGCGCAGGCGCUGGUGGCUAGCCUGGUGUGCGCGCCGCACUUCGCCUGCAUCACCACAUCACAUCGCCUGGUUGGCGCCGUAUGCGGCCUACUGUACAGCACUUUCUGGCUUGUUGUCUACAUGCAGGGCGUGGUGGCCAGUAUACGAGCCAUGAGUGACAAAACAGUGGGGGCACUGAUGCUGCUCCGAGACCUUCCCAUCAUCCCCUGCUUCAUCGGACUCGCCCUGCGGUCUGUGUGGGCAGCUUACAUGUGCUACAAGACAAGAACUCUUGUGGUUGAGAGUGAGGAGCCGUUGGUUGUGGACCAUCAGGUGAAGCACGUUAAAGCACUCUUCGCUCCCCUGUCAAAGGAUGUACAACACCCCACCACACUGCUCGAAAAGUUAAAGAGAAAAGUCCGCUCGCAGUUGUACCCGUUCUUUAAAUUACCAACCCGUAUAGUUUCCAUCGCCUUUGUGCAACUCAUCGUUAUUUAUUAUGCGGCGCUGACCCUGACCCCAAUAGGUGUGGAGACCCGCCGACUAGUCAUCUUCUUCUUGUCUGAGAACACCAGCGAAAGAAACACAAUCAUUGCAAUCUUCGAAGGUGUGUGGAUCACCGCGUCAUUAAUAGGAGUUAUAUCUUCAGUCAUCUAUGUUAUAUUGUUCGUCAUAAAUUACAGGCACAAUGUUAUUUAUAUAUACAAAGGCAUGAAGUCAAGUCUCAUGGAGGGUUCCAGCACAGCCCAUAAGUUGAUGGCGCAGAGUCUUCGUCUCCCUGGUUACCAGAUCGCCUACAUUGUAUGGGGGCUGGUGGUGAUGUUUGGAGCUGUUGCUGUUAUUGGUGCAAUCUUGGCAUUUGGUAUUUUCUUCUUGGCUAAACUAAAUCUGCUCACUUCAGUUCUUCAAAGCCUCGCACAGACACUCAGCGUGCCAGCAAUUACCAUCGGUCUGUUCUACCUGCAAGUUCUGUUCGUCAGAAUGUUCCUCAUGCAGCCUAAACUUCACCCUGAGGACAAGGGCCACCUCUCAACGUCAACAACAGGCGGCUGUACGAAGUGUUCAGCUAUGUUCUUCUCUUCUCCAACCUUCUGGUUGGUCUGGCGUCGGCUCUGUCCAGGACGAUCAAGGGCUUUAUCCUCGGGCUUGUCUUUCUAGGCCGACUGGACAGGUGUCUUCUUAUGAAGGGCUUCGAGGGCUUGGAUCCAGGCUACAUGGCGUACGUGGGGACGCUGCUGGUGGACAACGCCCACAACAACCCCUGCAUGCGCGUGUUCUGUGCCGUGCUGACGCGCCUCAGCUGCAGAGAGGAUCAGAAGGCGGCGUACGGCAUUCAGUUCCUACCGGAAC
RNAcentral lists this unclassified non-coding RNA (2369 nucleotides) under Pomacea canaliculata. RNAcentral describes it as "stimulated by retinoic acid gene 6 protein-like, transcript variant X2". The record is from RNAcentral. Lineage: Eukaryota; Metazoa; Mollusca; Gastropoda; Architaenioglossa; Ampullariidae.